AACGAACGCUGGCGGCAGGCUUAACACACGCAAGUCGAACGGAUCUUCGGGAUUAGUGGCAKACGGGUGGGUAACGCGUGGGAACGUACCCUUUGCUACGGAAUAACUCAGGGAAACUUGAGCUAAUACCGUAUGUGCCUACGGGGGAAAGAUUUAUCGGCAAAGGAUCGGCCCGCGUUGGAUUAGCUAGUUGGUGGGGUAAUGGCCUACCAAGGCGACGAUCCAUAGCUGGUCUGAGAGGAUGAUCAGCCACACUGGGACUGAGACACGGCCCAGACUCCUACGGGAGGCAGCAGUGGGGAAUAUUGGACAAUGGGCGCAAGCCUGAUCCAGCCAUGCCGCGUGAGUGAUGAAGGUCUUAGGGUUGUAAAGCUCUUUUACCCGGGAUGAUAAUGACAGUACCGGGAGAAUAAGCUCCGGCUAACUCCGUGC
This 432-nucleotide ribosomal RNA is filed under the name uncultured Alphaproteobacteria bacterium. RNAcentral describes it as "bacterial SSU rRNA". It matches the Rfam family "Bacterial small subunit ribosomal RNA", at positions 29 to 508 of the family's 1533-position model. The record is from RNAcentral. Lineage: Bacteria; Pseudomonadati; Pseudomonadota; Alphaproteobacteria.